CGUAGGGUGCAAGCGUUAAUCGGAAUUACUGGGCGUAAAGCGUGCGCAGGCGGUUUUAUAAGUCUGAUGUGAAAUCCCCGGGCUCAACCUGGGAACUGCAUUGGAGACUGUAAGGCUAGAGUGUGUCAGAGGGGGGUAGAAUUCCACGUGUAGCAGUGAAAUGCGUAGAUAUGUGGAGGAAUACCGAUGGCGAAGGCAGCCCCCUGGGAUAACACUGACGCUCAGGCACGAAAGCGUGGGGAGCAAACAGGAUUAGAUACCCUGGUAGUCCACGCCCUAAACGAUGUCUACUAGUUGUCGGGUCUUAAUUGACUUGGUAACGCAGCUAACGCGUGAAGUAGACCGCCUGGGGAGUACGGUCGCAAGAUUA
Molecule: ribosomal RNA, 370 nt
Filed under: uncultured organism
Description: bacterial SSU rRNA
Rfam family: Bacterial small subunit ribosomal RNA
Source: RNAcentral